GGCAACAGCUCAAAUUUGAAAUCUGGCUCUUUCAGGGUCCGAGUUGUAAUUUGUAGAGGAUGCUUCGGGCGUGGCGCGGGUCUAAGUUCCUUGGAACAGGACGUCAUAGAGGGUGAGAAUCCCGUAUGCGACCCAAUGCCUUCGUCCAUGUGAAGCUCCUUCGACGAGUCGAGUUGUUUGGGAAUGCAGCUCAAAAUGGGUGGUAAAUUUCAUCUAAAGCUAAAUACUGGCCAGAGACCGAUAGCGCACAAGUAGAGUGAUCGAAAGAUGAAAAGCACUUUGGAAAGAGAGUUAAAAAGUACGUGAAAUUGUUGAAAGGGAAGCGCUUGCAACCAGACUUGCUCGCGGUUGCUCAGCCGGUGUUCUCACCGGUGCACUCUUCCGCGAUCAGGCCAGCAUCGGUUUGGGCGGCUGGAUAAAGGCUUCGGGAAUGUAGCUCCUCUCGGGGAGUGUUAUAGCCCGGGGUGCAAUGCAGCCUGCCCGGACCGAGGACCGCGCUUCGGCUAGGAUGCUGGCGUAAUGGUUGUAAGCGACCCGUCUUGAAACACGGACCAAGGAGUCUAACAUCUAUGCGAGUGUUUGGGUGUCAAACCCAUGCGCGUAAUGAAAGUGAACGGAGGUGGGAACCCUUAAGGGUGCACCAUCGACCGAUCCUGAUGUCUUCGGAUGGAUUUGAGUAAGAGCAUAGCUGUUGGGACCCGAAAGAUGGUGAACUAUGCCUGAAUAGGGUGAAGCCAGAGGAAACUCUGGUGGAGGCUCGCAGCGGUUCUGACGUGCAAAUCGAUCGUCAAAUUUGGGUAUAGGGGCGAAAGACUAAUCGAACCAUCUAGUAGCUGGUUCCUGCCGAAGUUCCCUCAGGA
RNAcentral lists this ribosomal RNA (860 nucleotides) under Sarea difformis. RNAcentral describes it as "partial large subunit ribosomal RNA". It matches the Rfam family "Eukaryotic large subunit ribosomal RNA", at positions 100 to 978 of the family's 3401-position model. The record is from RNAcentral. Lineage: Eukaryota; Fungi; Ascomycota; Sareomycetes; Sareales; Zythiaceae.